UCCAGACUGGUGAAUGAAACAAAGAAAGGAAGCCCUUAAUGCCAUUGAUCACAUCAUGCUGUGAAAGUGGACCCUCGAUUAAUGGGUUUAGGAAUGUUCGUCUAAAUUACAAACAACUGUAAUGAUUCUCCAAGGACAAAGAGGGCACUCUGGUUCAAUGAGGGUGGAGAUACAGGCUACAAAGGGAAAUAUUAUGCAAGUCACACAUGCAUUUGAACUAUCCAAGACCACCAAACCGUAAUAAACAAGUGUUAGUUUACUGCAGGUUUGGAUACAUAAUAACGUUACAGAGCACCGUCUGACUUUAUGCAUACUUAAUUUGAUAUAAAAUGAAAUUUUAACAGUGGAUUCUAACCAUUAACGCAAGGGCAUAAUCAGAAUGGCGUAGUCAGAAAAUGCCGUGCAACUAGA
This 411-nucleotide long non-coding RNA is filed under the name Anas platyrhynchos platyrhynchos (common mallard). RNAcentral's name for it is "lncRNA (ENSAPLG00000023198.1)". Lineage: Eukaryota; Metazoa; Chordata; Aves; Anseriformes; Anatidae. The record is from RNAcentral.